Molecule: ribosomal RNA, 253 nt
Filed under: uncultured bacterium
Lineage: Bacteria
Description: partial 16S ribosomal RNA
Rfam family: Bacterial small subunit ribosomal RNA
Source: RNAcentral
UACGUAGGGUGCAAGCGUUAAUCGGAAUUACUGGGCGUAAAGCGUGCGCAGGCGGCUUUGCAAGACAGAUGUGAAAUCCCCGGGCUUAACCUGGGAACUGCAUUUGUGACUGCAUGGCUAGAGUGCGGCAGAGGGGGAUGGAAUUCCGCGUGUAGCGGUGAAAUGCGUAGAUAUCGGAAGGAACGCCGGUGGCGAAAGCGACUUCCUGGCCUGCAACUGACACUGAGGAACGAAAGCCAGGGGAGCAAACGGG